GAUUGAACGCUAGCGGGAUGCUUUACACAUGCAAGUCGAACGGCAGCGCGGACUUCGGUCUGGCGGCGAGUGGCGAACGGGUGAGUAAUAUAUCGGAACGUGCCCAGUAGCGGGGGAUAACUACGCGAAAGCGUGGCUAAUACCGCAUACGCCCUACGGGGGAAAGGGGGGGAUUCUUCGGAACCUCUCACUAUUGGAGCGGCCGAUAUCAGAUUAGCUAGUUGGUGAGGUAAAGGCUCACCAAGGCGACGAUCUGUAGCUGGUUUGAGAGGACGACCAGCCACACUGGGACUGAGACACGGCCCAGACUCCUACGGGAGGCAGCAGUGGGGAAUUUGGACAAUGGGGGAAAACCCUGAUCCAGCCAUCCCGGCGUGUGCGAGUGAAGGCCGUUCGGGUUGUAAA
RNAcentral lists this ribosomal RNA (405 nucleotides) under uncultured soil bacterium. RNAcentral describes it as "bacterial SSU rRNA". It matches the Rfam family "Bacterial small subunit ribosomal RNA", at positions 27 to 429 of the family's 1533-position model. The record is from RNAcentral.